CCAAUGCAACUCCUUGCAUUGCCGGUCCUAAGCCCGGGUAAAGGAGGAGGGAGAAGGGCUUUAGAAUGAAUCGUCAACUAUGGAGGAGAUCUUGAAAAUGCAGUGGAUGUUGCAUGUGGGAGGGUUGGAGCUGCAUAUUUCAGAUUCAAGCAUCUGGAUGAUGGAAUAUACGAAGCUGUUGAAAUUUCAGGGUGAAGUCGAGCACAUUUCUCUAAUGAAGCCAAA
Molecule: long non-coding RNA, 225 nt
Organism: Magnolia sinica
Lineage: Eukaryota; Viridiplantae; Streptophyta; Magnoliopsida; Magnoliales; Magnoliaceae
Exons: 3
Source: RefSeq, a predicted model, not a curated record